Molecule: non-coding RNA, 101 nt
Filed under: chicken gut metagenome
Source: RNAcentral
AACAGGGGUGCUGGCGCGCGGCCGGCUGAGAGGGAUUUCAAAACGAGCCGGGAUCCCAACCCUCGAACCUGAUCCGGGUAAUGCCGGCGGAGGGAGAACGG